AUAAGUGACUAAGCAAUCGAAUGCUGAGCCUAGGCUUCGGCCAAAGCGCAUCACCGGACAAGGCGCCGAGAAAAGUUUGCAGUUGUUCCCCGGGUCGCCCGUACCGUAAACCGACACAGGUGGGUGGGUGUAAAUGCACUCAGGCGCGCGAGAGAAACUUCUCUAAGGAACUAGGCACAUUCGCCCCGUAACUUCGGAAGAAGGGGUGCUCAAGACCGCGACAGCAAUGUGGCGGUGGCGAGUCUCAGUAAAUUGCGUUUAGCGACUGUUUAACAAAAACACAGCACUCUGCCAAGUCGUGAAGACGACGUAUAGGGUGUGACACGUGACCAAUGCGGAAAGAUUAAGAGAUCUUGUCAGCCGCAAGGCGAAGCUCGGUCUUUAAGUCCCCGUGAAUGUCGGCCGUAACUAUAACGGUCCUAAGGUAGCGAAAUUCCUUGUCGGGUAAGUUCCGACCUGCACGAAUCGAGUAACGACUAAACGACUGUCUCGGAGAGGAUCUCGGCGAAACUGUAACGGCGGUGAAGAUGCCGCCUGCCCGCAGUAGGACGGGAAGACCCUAUGCACCUUUACUGUAGCUCGUAUUGGGUUCUGGUUUGUGAUGCGUAGCGUAGGUGGGAGACUUUGAAGUGAGGGCCUCGGUCUUCAUGGAGUCGCAAUGUGAAACACCACUCUUCGCCAAUUAGGAUUCUAACCCCGGGCUGUGAAGCCAGCCGGGGGACAGUGCGUGCGGGUCAGUUUGACUGGGGCGGUUUCCUCCCAAAAAGUAACGGAGGAGCGCGAAGCUCAGCUCAGCACGGUUGGCAACCGUGCGGUGAGGGUAUGGCUAGAAGCUGGGUCAACUGUGAGACCCACAAGUCGAGCAGGUGCGAAAGCAGGCCCAAAUGAUCCGGCGGUUUAAUGUGGAAUUGCCGUCGCUCAUCGGACAAAAGGUACGCUAGGGAUAACAGGCUGAUCGCUUCCAAGAGUUCAUAUCGACGAAGCGGUUUGGCACCUCGAUGUCGGCUCAUCGCAUCCUGGGGCUGAAGAAGGUCCCAAGGGUCCGGCUGUUCGCCGGUUAAAGCGGUACGCGAGCUGGGUUCAGAACGUCGUGAGACAGUUCGGUCCUUAUCCACUGUGGGCGCAGGAGACUUGAGGGGUUCUUUUCCUAGUACGAGAGGACCGGAAAAGACGCACUUCUGGUGUGGCAGUUGUCCCGUCCGGGGCAUCGCUGCGUAGCCAUGUGCGGAAGAGAUAAGCGCUGAAAGCGUCUAAGUGCCAAGCUCCUCCCAAGAUAAGGUCUCCCGGACCGCAAGGUCCCUAAAGACCCCCGGAAGACUACCGGGUUGAUAGGCCAGAGGUGUAAGCGGGGCGACCCGUUUAGCUGACUGGUACUAAUCGGUCGUGCGGCUUGAUCGC
RNAcentral lists this ribosomal RNA (1398 nucleotides) under metagenome. Its description in RNAcentral is "bacterial LSU rRNA". It matches the Rfam family "Bacterial large subunit ribosomal RNA", at positions 1540 to 2925 of the family's 2925-position model. The record is from RNAcentral.